Long non-coding RNA from Bacillus rossius redtenbacheri, 2970 nucleotides. RefSeq lists it as uncharacterized. The record is from RefSeq and is a predicted model, not a curated record. Lineage: Eukaryota; Metazoa; Arthropoda; Insecta; Phasmatodea; Bacillidae. The transcript has 2 exons.
UUGUCGCGGGUUGAAAUUUUGCAGGGUUGUUGAAAUCAAAUUUAGGGACUUUACUGACGGGACUCUGGGCUGGCUGCUCUGUUCACUCGUCAGCGCAAGUGGCGUGACCAUGUAAUUGGGGCACGGGGCCGGCGCGGCGCGCUGCGGGCUUGCAGAAUUUUGUUUGUUUGUUUGGCCGCGCGCUGGCGCAGCCACGGGCCGCAGUUACUGGGGCGCGCUGUCGUAACAAGCCGCGCGGUGUGGCCUGCACAUUGGGGUAGAGGGGGGGUAGUCUUCCCAGAUGUUCUAGUUAGUUGUUUAGUAAAUUUGACUUCAAUAACGAGCUUUUGUUAUGGUAGGCGCGGCAGGGCGCGCGAAUUGAAGCGCAAGUGAGUGGUGACUCGGGGCUCACUCAGGCGGAGGCUAUGCGUCUCACCUGUGGUCACGAGUUGUUAGUUCGUUCGUGAUGUAGGAAUUCAAGCUUUCGGGCGGAAGCUAUGGCCGACGCCAGAGGCCACGAGUCGUUUAAUUUAAGUUAGGUCAUAAUGUAGUCAUCUUCAAGCUUUCGGGCGGAGGCAAUGGCCCUUGUCACUAGUCGUUUAGUUAUAAUUUUUUAAAAUGUAAUGUUCGUUCGGAUUUUAAGGGCAGGAGAGGCCCCUACGUUAGUUUUAAGUAAUCGAUCAAGAAAGGCUUUUCGGAAAAUGUGAGUAUGGACUUAUCUUUGUUUUAAUUUUAAGUAUUAAUUAUGAUUUGAGGUAUUCGGAAGGACUAGGGAAGUGUUUAGUGAAGUUCUCUCAUUCUCUCUCUUGUAAGGUCGUUCAAUCGUUAAGGAAGUAAAGAGAUUAUUGUUUUAAAUUGUAAUCCCGCUAUUUAAAUGUUCUUUAAAAUGAUGUUGAGUAUUUGACUUUAAGAAUAAAAUAAUUUUAAUUAAGUAUUAUGUUAUUUUGCAAAAUCUCCUUAGUUCAGCUCUCACCAGACAUCCUGUACGGGAUGACGAACCUAUGAUCCUAGGUACAGUAAAGUAUUUUAUGAAGUUAAGACUAGUUGAUGCCAAGCGAGUUGUUUCUAUGUAAAGAGCUACGAUUCUCGCCCCCCCCCCUCUGAAGGUGGAUCGUGACAGAAAUGGUAGAGUUCGCCGGAUAGGUUCUAUUUCUGGAGAGAGAGAGAGGUAGAUUUUUAUGUUUAUUAUUAAGUUAGUUUCAGCUUCUGAUAGCAGGUUAUUAAGAGUUUACUUGAGGAGAGGAUUACGGAAUUUUAGUCUAUAGUGGAGGAAGUCUUUGAGAUUUUUUUUUUGACGUAACAGAUGUUUAUUUGAGGAUACUUGUAAGGAUAAAGUUUAUAGUGAUAAGUUGUUUUAAGUCGUUGAAUUUAUUGUAGAUUUAUAUCGGGGAUUAUUACGUGAGGAGAAUACGUUAUAAGUUAAAUGCUUAUUAGAGAUAAUGCAAGUGGUUUAAUUUAAUUGAAGUUCAUUUUAAGAUUGUAGGUUAAGAGAAUUAUAAUUUAAAAUAAAGUUUUUUGUCGUAAAUAGGAAUUAUUUUCAAGAGAAGUUUGUUUUGUUUUCGUGCGCGUAGGAGACGAGACGUACGAAUUAAAUCAGUCGAGGAAAGGAUAAACGUUAGAAAGGAAUUAAAGAGAAAACGAGAGUUUAUGUAAAAGAGAGUUAUAGAAUUUAUAGUGAUGUUUUGUUUUAAUUAGAAAAAUGUUGAGAGUUGUUUCAGAACGACACGUCAGUGGACGUGGCAGAAUGAACACGUGACGGGGAGGUGCUGAGACCUAGCGGAGAACGGAGGAACCGCAAGCGAGGGUUGGCGCACCUGAUGGAAUUCGGUGACGUCACGGGCUCAUACGGAGACGUGGACAGGCCGUGACCUUGUUUUGAUCAGCUGUACGGUAACUUAACGAUAAGAAAAUAGACUAUUGGUUAAAUAAAUUUAAAUUUAAGUGUGUUUUAGGAGAAGAGGAACUUUCAGUAUAUUCCUUAAGAUGAGCUGAGCAGCAGUCCAGUUUACAAGAUGACAAGAGUUCGAGAGACAAGAUACAAGAUCACUGAAACAAGAGCCAAGACUGAAGAUUCAAGAGAAGAGAAAGCUGGCAGCCAUGGACUUACAAGUGGAGAUUAAUAAGGUCAUGUAAAGUUUUAUUUUUUUUUAUGGAAGACAGUAACUGGAGUUUUUUUUUUGUUAUAAACAUUAUUUACAGAACUUUUUAGGUUAUAGUAAUGUAAUGGAACUAGUGAGUUGUGGUAGCUGUCAAAAAGAACUAAUACCUUAAGUUUAAUUUUUAAAGUUAAUUUUCUUAAUUUACAGAGGGAUUAGUAGUUUUUUUUUAAACCUUAUUUAGGUUGGAAUUUAAAUACAAUAGCUUAUUAUAAAUGUGUACGAACAGUUCAAGUUCACAGUACUGAUAGGUAGGUCAGAUGAUCUUAUUGAUUUUGAUGAUUUGUUGUUUUGAGUUGAUUUUUAAGUGUUGUGAAUUAGACAAUGAAAUAGUUCUGAAAACUUAAAUUAUUUCAAGCUAAGAAAUAGUAAAGUUAAUUGUAACUCAAAGGACACCAGAAUUUAAUUUUUUUUUGAAUUAGUAAUGUUUGAAAAUUUUAUACUUUACAAGAAAGGUUAUAAACAAACAGAUCGGAUGGAACAAGGAUGCAGUAAAUCACAAUUUCAUUUAGAAUUAUUGAUUAGCUUUUGAGGUUAUGAAGUAAAAGUAAUUAUAGUUUAAAAGUUUGAAUAAAAAAAAAUGUUUUUUUUUAUUUGUUUGAAAUAGAAAGUUUAAAAGUUAAUUAGUCAUGAUCUAGGUGGGUGAUGGGGUGGGAAUUGGCCACUCUUUUUCCCUAUAACCUCCCUAACAUGGCCUUCUAUUACAACUAACAGAAAUAAAGAAGAAGAAAAAUGAAGAAUUAUUAGUUAGAAUGUUUCUUUCAUGAAGAUACCUGAUGAACUUUUACUGUUUGGAAGAAUAGAAGCAAGGUUAGUCAGAUAUUUUUACUCAGAA